This 71-nucleotide transfer RNA is filed under the name Marmota marmota marmota (Alpine marmot). It matches the Rfam family "tRNA". Rfam says of the family: Transfer RNA (tRNA) molecules are approximately 80 nucleotides in length. Lineage: Eukaryota; Metazoa; Chordata; Mammalia; Rodentia; Sciuridae. The record is from Rfam by way of RNAcentral. RNAcentral also lists the same sequence under 1 other name.
GGGGCUGUAGCUCAGUGGUGGAGUGCUUGCCUAGCAUGUGAGAGGCACUGGGUUCAAUCCACAGUACCCCA